Molecule: ribosomal RNA, 483 nt
Filed under: uncultured bacterium
Lineage: Bacteria
Description: partial 16S ribosomal RNA
Rfam family: Bacterial small subunit ribosomal RNA
Source: RNAcentral
AUUGAACGCUGGCGGCAGGCCUAACACAUGCAAGUCGAGCGGAUGAAGGGAGCUUGCUCCUGGAUUCAGCGGCGGACGGGUGAGUAAUGCCUAGGAAUCUGCCUGGUAGUGGGGGAUAACGUCCGGAAACGGGCGCUAAUACCGCAUACGUCCUGAGGGAGAAAGUGGGGGAUCUUCGGACCUCACGCUAUCAGAUGAGCCUAGGUCGGAUUAGCUAGUUGGUGGGGUAAAGGCCUACCAAGGCGACGAUCCGUAACUGGUCUGAGAGGAUGAUCAGUCACACGGGAACUGAGACACGGUCCAGACUCCUACGGGAGGCAGCAGUGGGGAAUUUUGGACAAUGGGCGAAAGCCUGAUCCAGCCAUGCCGCGUGUGUGAAGAAGGUCUUCGGAUUGUAAAGCACUUUAAGUUGGGAGGAAGGGCAGUAAGUUAAUACCUUGCUGUUUUGACGUUACCAACAGAAUAAGCACCGGCUAACUUCGU